UCACAUGUAUACUUAGCAUAUCGGGAUGACGAUAUCGAGUGAUCCGCAUUUUAAAUAACGCGCUUAAAAACACCACGUGACUCACCUACAUACCCGGAUAUUCAACCAGAUUUUACCAUUCUUCGGUUUGGCGUUCUGUCGAGUGGUUCGUUCUCUGGACAGUCAGGUUACUGAGACAUCUGGACCUAUUGUUUCAUCCGCACAGCAGCAUGGUGCAUCCUCUCAGUCAUUCAUUGAAGAUGGUCGUGGUGACUAUAUCCGGCAAUCAUUGUCGAGUUGGGGAGUUUCACAAAGAACUGCAGAAAUUGCCUUGUCAGCCUAUAUACCAUGGACAAGGAAUCAAUAUCGUUUGACCUGGAAAAAGUGGUAUUUAUGGUGUGGUUUAAUGGCUUUACAGUCCCUUUCAAAUGACUGAAGGUGUAGUGGUGUAUGACCUCCAUGAGGAUUAGAAAUCCUAUUUAGUGUUAAAUACUCAUUAUGCAAUGCUAUUGUAGAAAUUGCAAUUUUAUGGUUACAUUUGGUGUUCCAAUAUAUUUUUUAUAACUAAAUUUAUGUAGGAAUAUUUAAUAUUUGUCCAGUUCUUCCUAGAUAUAUAUAUUCACAUGGAGUGUGAGUACUGUUCUCAAGUUUUAUGGUCUUUGUAUCCAUUAAAUAAACUGACUAUGAAAAUGAUGACACUUUAGGUGUCUGCUUUAAUAGCAUUAUCCUGCGUCCCAGGGCUUAGACUUUAGUGUUACUUAACACACUUAGGCUAUAUGAAGACAAGUAAUAAUAAUGUGUGUUUUGUGUUUCCUAAUCAUCUCAUAAUCACUAAUAAGCAUAAUAAUUAUCUGUUAGUUUUAGAAAAUUUCAUUAUGAGAAAUUGUAUGUUAUGCAUACCGUGUUGUUUUAUGUAAAAUGUCCUGAAGCCUUUAGAAAUGUAUAUUAUUUGUUAGUGUUUUAUGUAACCUAUAAGACAGUUACCACUUGUACUGCGGCUAGAUGGCUAAGGAAAGUCUUACUACUUCUGGUAUAGACAUUGGUAUUUUUAAGGCUUGUGUGUUUACAUCUGCAGCUACUUCUGCAGCAUAUAAUAAAGGAUGAUCCUUAGUGGGCAUUUUUCAAAACUCCAGACUGGAAAUUUGACAAGAAUUUUUAUAACUGGAGUACAGAAAUCAGUGUCAAUUAAUGACGCUGUGUUAGGUAGUUAAUAAUUAUUAUUUUAAACUAGUAAUGAAAUGUGUUGAUGAAGAUAGCAUAUCCAAAAAUGUUGUGUUGAUUUGUUUUAACAGGGUUGAAUCACCUGUGAAAUUGUCUGUAGUGUUACAUCCAUAAAUGAUUGAUAAUGAUAGUUAUGAUGGAAGUCUUUAGUUAAAGAUACUCACCGUUGUUAUUGUUUGUGUUCGGUUUUGUUGCUAGAUUUAAAGAUGCUAAGUAUACAUGUGAAAGCCGGAGGCUUUACGGAAAAUAAUGAUCCAUCAUCCAAGCUUUAGUGAAGGAUGAUGGGCAUUAUUUGAGUAAAGCCGGAGGCUGAGCAUGUAUACUCCCACCCUUCUUUAUGAAAUUAUAUUAUGUAUUCUGAGAAUAUAAUUUAAUAUAUGGCUUUUCGGUU
Molecule: long non-coding RNA, 1591 nt
Organism: Dreissena polymorpha
Lineage: Eukaryota; Metazoa; Mollusca; Bivalvia; Myida; Dreissenidae
Exons: 2
Source: RefSeq, a predicted model, not a curated record